AAUCAACGCUGGCGGCGUGCCUAACACAUGCAAGUCGAGCGAGAAAGGGGACUUCGGUCCCUGAGUACAGCGGCGCACGGGUGAGUAACGCGUGGGUGAUCAACCUUCGAGUGGGGAAUAACAGCGGGAAACUGCUGCUAAUUCCGCAUGACGUUCACAGACUUCGGUCUGUGGACCAAAGCCGGGGACCUUCGGGCCUGGCGCUUGAAGACGAGCCCGCGUCCGAUUAGUUAGUUGGUGGGGUAAUGGCCUACCAAGACUUCGAUCGGUAGCCGGCCUGAGAGGGCGGACGGCCACACUGGAACUGAGACACGGUCCAGACUCCUACGGGAGGCAGCAGUGGGGAAUUUUUCGCAAUGGGGGAAACCCUGACGAAGCAACGCCGCGUGAAGGAUGAAGGCCUUCGGGUCGUAAACUUCUGUCAACCGGGAAGAAACCGUCCAGUCGAAUAGACUGUGGCGUUGACUGUACCGGUGGAGGAAGCUCCGGCUAACUCUGUGCCAGCCGCCGCGGUAAUU
Molecule: ribosomal RNA, 518 nt
Filed under: uncultured bacterium
Lineage: Bacteria
Description: bacterial SSU rRNA
Rfam family: Bacterial small subunit ribosomal RNA
Source: RNAcentral